RNAcentral lists this long non-coding RNA (558 nucleotides) under Brassica napus (rape). RNAcentral describes it as "long non-coding RNA (BNAP_LNC009325)". The record is from RNAcentral. Lineage: Eukaryota; Viridiplantae; Streptophyta; Magnoliopsida; Brassicales; Brassicaceae.
AUGUUAAAACACGUUUUUAAUAUGAUGGUCGGAGGAGUGGACGGUGAUGGCAUGGACGGUGAUGUUAGGUGGCUGAAAUUAUUGACGUUGGUUUUGUCAAAGAUUGUGAGCUCACCAAACACAUUCUUCAUGCUUAUAAAAGGAGAGAUAUGGUGAACCAUUUCAUUCAUCCCAAAAUCAAAAAUCACAGAGAGAAGUGAGGAAGAAGAAGAACGUGAGAGAGAGAAAAAAAAAAAAAAAAAAAUUUCUUUUUUCUUACGGGUAUUUGGGAUCGGGUUGAGAGAAAAUUAUUUAGAGAGUUUGGGUAUUUUCUCCUAUUAUAACGAGAAAAUUAUUAAUCGAUUUCUCCGUUAUAAUUGAGAUGGUUGUAACUCCUAUUAUUUUUCUCGUAAUAAAUUCUUCUACCUUGUCCGUGGUUUUUACCCUUUGGGGUUUUCCACGUUAAAUCUGGUGUUCCAUUUAUUACACUAUUUCUCAAAUUAUUAGCUGCGACCCUGCUCUAUCCGAUCCAGUUUUACAACAAUAACCAGCUCCGGCUAAUAAAUUUGCUCUCCCGAA